This 319-nucleotide ribosomal RNA is filed under the name uncultured eukaryote. Its description in RNAcentral is "partial 18S ribosomal RNA". It matches the Rfam family "Eukaryotic small subunit ribosomal RNA", at positions 1470 to 1796 of the family's 1831-position model. The record is from RNAcentral.
CCCUUAGAUGUUCUGGGCCGCGCGCGCUACACUGACACGUUCAACGAGUUUUGCCUGCUCCGAUGGGACUGGGUAAUCUUAUGAAAGCGUGUCGUGAUGGGGAUAGAUUAUUGCAAUUAUUAAUCUUCAACGAGGAAUUCCUAGUAAGUACAAGUCAUCAGCUUGUGCUGAUUACGUCCCUGCCCUUUGUACACACCGCCCGUCGCUCCUACCGAUUGGGUGAUCCGGUGAAUAACUCGGACUGCAGCUAUUCGGGAGACCGUUAGCUUGUGGAAAGUUUAGUAAAUCUUAUCACUUAGAGGAAGGAGAAGUCGUAACA